GUGUCCUGAAGCCUUUCCACUUUCCUUAUUCCAACUACCGACAAUACGCUUCGUUCUGUUAAAGCUACGUGGAGAUGCGGGUUAACUUGUUGAGCGUUGCGCCUCUGAGACUGUGCAGGUGUGUGUGUUCCAGGUGCAGCUCGCCUCUCCACCUGCUUCCUGUUUAUUAUCUCCACCCUGCAGCAGCCAAGUGUUGCUUCUGUCAUUGUUACAAGCUGGGUUUCCUCAGUGCUGCUUCCUGUAGUACUUAUUUCAAUUUGAGAUCUUUUUAAUUGAGCAAUAAUUAUUAUUUUUCUCUGAUAUGUUAGAUGUUCACCUGGUUUCAAACUUCCGUCUCUGUUUUGGGGCUUUACUGCUGGAGCUUUGAAGUCCAUGUCUGCCUGAGAGGAUUUGGAUUCUGUUCAUUGGAAGCAUCAAAUUAAAAGCGUAUUUGUUCAAAGAUAACUAACUUAAUCAUUUACACAGUUCAUGUUUUACAUCAGAAAAGUUGAAGCACCUCCAUCCCAUUCUUAUGGAAGAGGAUUGGGACCAGUGGGAAAAAAAAAAAAAAAGUAAUUCAGAUUUUUCCCUUAGAGUUUUGACUUUAAUAUUCUGAGAAAAAAGUCAGAAUUUUGAGGAAGAAUAAUUUUUUUCAGUGGACAUAAUUCUCAUGUAGUUUUGAAUCACUUUUAGAUAUCAGUAAAAUGUAUUAUGUCGUUUUUUUAAUUUCACGUCCAUUUGGAUGGAUACAACAACGUGUCUAUUUUUAUGUGCUUUUUCUCAUCUGUCCUUGUCCAGUUUCUGUCUCCAUUAAACUCUAAAUGUAAA
Poecilia latipinna (sailfin molly) is the source of this 807-nucleotide long non-coding RNA. RefSeq lists it as uncharacterized. The record is from RefSeq and is a predicted model, not a curated record. NCBI's taxonomy places the organism in Eukaryota, Metazoa, Chordata, Actinopteri, Cyprinodontiformes, Poeciliidae. The transcript is spliced from 2 exons.